Long non-coding RNA from Passer domesticus (house sparrow), 688 nucleotides. RefSeq lists it as uncharacterized. The record is from RefSeq and is a predicted model, not a curated record. NCBI's taxonomy places the organism in Eukaryota, Metazoa, Chordata, Aves, Passeriformes, Passeridae. The transcript has 3 exons.
AGCACUGCAGGUGCUCCCCUUCUGCUGCAAGUGGGCUGGGACACAGCCUGCAGAGGCCAAAGCAGGGGUUAAAGCUGAGACCACUGUGGUUCCCAGUCACCCCCCAGUGAGCUGGCAGAACCAGCUGCACAUCCACCCUGCUUUGUGAGCACACCGUGGCAUUGUUGGCUGUGCCCUGUCACCUCACAGAUGAGACAAGGAUGUGCCAGGGUGGGGAGAAGAGGAAGUGGAGUCAGUGCUGUGUAGUCUGCCCUCUCUGCAUGGCCAGCUUGGAGGCCACAAUCCAUGUGUGAGAGCCACUGGUGCACAGCACAGAUCUUAUUUUUUUCAUAAAAAUAUUUCAUUUCAGUAGCUUCCCCUGGUUUAGAUGUUUCUGUAUACAAGGUCUCAGAAGUCUGUUUCUGAAACGGUAAUGCAUAGGAGGAGUAGUGUCUGGUUCUGACUUAACUACCCACAGACACUCUUAGGCAUGCAUGGAUUGCAGACAAAAGCUCUGAUAUCACAUCAUCACUCUCCAGCUGACAUUUCUGCACCAGUGUGUGAAGUCCCAUUGAUUUCAGUGGCUGUGGGCAAAAGUAAUUGGUGUCCAGAGGAGAUUUAGAUCCAGAGUCAUGACCAAGGAUGGAAGAUCUGCCUGUUUUCAGCUAGGCAUAAUGGAAAUGAAAGAAGAUUAAAACAGGGAAGCUGA